UAGGGAAUCUUCGGCAAUGGACGAAAGUCUGACCGAGCAACGCCGCGUGAGUGAAGAAGGUUUUCGGAUCGUAAAACUCUGUUGGUAGAGAAGAACGUUGGUGAGAGUGGAAAGCUCAUCAAGUGACGGUAACUACCCAGAAAGGGACGGCUAACUACGUGCCAGCAGCCGCGGUAAUACGUAGGUCCCGAGCGUUGUCCGGAUUUAUUGGGCGUAAAGCGAGCGCAGGUGGUUUAUUAAGUCUGGUGUAAAAGGCAGUGGCUCAACCAUUGUAUGCAUUGGAAACUGGUAGACUUGAGUGCAGGAGAGGAGAGUGGAAUUCCAUGUGUAGCGGUGAAAUGCGUAGAUAUAUGGAGGAACACCGGUGGCGAAAGCGGCUCUCUGGCCUGUAACUGACACUGAGGCUCGAAAGCGUGGGGAGCAAAUCAGGAUUAGAUACCCUGGUAGUC
RNAcentral lists this ribosomal RNA (449 nucleotides) under uncultured bacterium. Its description in RNAcentral is "partial 16S ribosomal RNA". It matches the Rfam family "Bacterial small subunit ribosomal RNA", at positions 355 to 795 of the family's 1533-position model. The record is from RNAcentral.